This 891-nucleotide ribosomal RNA is filed under the name Galerina atkinsoniana. RNAcentral's name for it is "partial large subunit ribosomal RNA". It matches the Rfam family "Eukaryotic large subunit ribosomal RNA", at positions 78 to 954 of the family's 3401-position model. Lineage: Eukaryota; Fungi; Basidiomycota; Agaricomycetes; Agaricales; Galerinaceae. The record is from RNAcentral.
CCCUAGUAACUGCGAGUGAAGCGGGAAAAGCUCAAAUUUAAAAUCUGGCGGUCUUUGACUGUCCGAGUUGUAAUCUAGAGAAGUGUUAUCCGCGCUGGACCGUGUACAAGUCUCCUGGAAUGGAGCGUCAUAGAGGGUGAGAAUCCCGUCUUUGACACGGACUGCCAGGGCUUUGUGAUAUGCUCUCAAAGAGUCGAGUUGUUUGGGAAUGCAGCUCAAAAUGGGUGGUAAAUUCCAUCUAAAGCUAAAUAUUGGCGAGAGACCGAUAGCGAACAAGUACCGUGAGGGAAAGAUGAAAAGAACUUUGGAAAGAGAGUUAAACAGUACGUGAAAUUGCUGAAAGGGAAACGCUUGAAGUCAGUCGCGUUGUCCGGGGAUCAACCUUGCUUUUGCUGGGCGUACUUCCCGGUUAAUGGGUCAGCAUCAAUUUUGAUCGUUGGAUAAAGGUUAGGGGAAAGUGGCAUCUUCGGAUGUGUUAUAGCCCUUGGUCGCAUACAACGGUUGGGAUUGAGGAACUCAGCACGCCGCAAGGCCGGGUAUUUAUACCACGUUCGUGCUUAGGAUGCUGGCAUAAUGGCUUUAAUCGACCCGUCUUGAAACACGGACCAAGGAGUCUAACAUGCCUGCGAGUGUUUGGGUGGAAAACCCGAGCGCGUAAUGAAAGUGAAAGUUGAGAUCCCUGUCGUCGGGAGCAUCGACGCCCGGACCAGACCUUUUGUGACGGAUCCGCGGUAGAGCAUGUAUGUUGGGACCCGAAAGAUGGUGAACUAUGCCUGAAUAGGGUGAAGCCAGAGGAAACUCUGGUGGAGGCUCGUAGCGAUUCUGACGUGCAAAUCGAUCGUCAAAUUUGGGUAUAGGGGCGAAAGACUAAUCGAACCAUCUAGUAGCUGG